AAUCAACGCUGGCGGCGUGCCUCAGACAUGCAAGUCGAACGCGAAAGUUCCCUUCGGGGAGCGAGUAGAGUGGCGUACGGGUGAGUAACACGUAGGUAAUCUACCUUUGGGUGGGGAAUAACAGCCGGAAACGGCUGCUAAUACCGCAUAAUGCAGCGGCUCGACAUCGAGACAGUUGUUAAAGCGGGGGAUCGCAAGACCUCGCGCCUAAAGAGGAGCCUGCGGCGGAUUAGCUAGUUGGUGAGGUAAUGGCUCACCAAGGCAUCGAUCCGUAGCCGGCCUGAGAGGGCGGUCGGCCACACUGACACUGACAUACGGGUCAGACUCCUACGGGAGGCAGCAGUCGGGAAUUUUGGGCAAUGGGCGAAAGCCUGACCCAGCAACGCCGCGUGAAGGAUGAAAUCCCUCGGGA
Molecule: ribosomal RNA, 412 nt
Filed under: uncultured bacterium
Lineage: Bacteria
Description: bacterial SSU rRNA
Rfam family: Bacterial small subunit ribosomal RNA
Source: RNAcentral